AGACCAGCACCUCAAGUGGUCAGGAGGAUUAUUGGGCCUAAAGCAUCCGUAGCCUGCUGCAUAAGUUUUCGGUUAAAUCCAUACGCUCAACGUAUGGGCUGCCGGGAAUACUGUGCAGCUAGGGAGUGGGAGAGGUAGACGGUACUCGGUAGGAAGGGGUAAAAUCCUUUGAUCUAUUGAUGACCACCUGUGGCGAAGGCGGUCUACCAGAACACGUCCGACGGUGAGGGAUGAAAGCUGGGGGAGCAAACCGGAUUAGAAACCCGAGUAGUCC
This 274-nucleotide ribosomal RNA is filed under the name uncultured bacterium. RNAcentral describes it as "partial 16S ribosomal RNA". It matches the Rfam family "Archaeal small subunit ribosomal RNA", at positions 473 to 747 of the family's 1478-position model. The record is from RNAcentral.